Molecule: long non-coding RNA, 1095 nt
Filed under: Pan troglodytes (chimpanzee)
Lineage: Eukaryota; Metazoa; Chordata; Mammalia; Primates; Hominidae
Description: long non-coding RNA NONPTRT005929
Source: RNAcentral
GGGAGGCACAGAGCCUUAGUCUAUGAGCCCUAACUCCCUGAACUCCCACCCCAGAGUUAGGAAACUCCUCCCACAUAGGACAAUGGGCAAGCAGAGCCCGCCUUCCAUGGGAGGAGCCCAAAUAGUCCACACCCACUUUCCCUGCCUCCCUUGCAGCUAGGGCAUGGCAUGUGACUGGACUCUGCCAAUCAGAGGCACCUGCUCUGGAGUUUGAAUUGGAGGCUUGUCCUGUCCAGGACUCUUUCUGGAGGGAGCCUGGGCCACAUGGAGUUCCUGGCAGCUGUGAAGAAGAAGGACUUCACCAGGCUGGCUCUGUGUGCCCACAACAGCUCCGCUGGGAACCCGCCAUCCUCCGAGAAGACAUUUUAGCAACAGAGGAGGCCAUUUUGCUUUGAGAAUCAGAACCAAACCCUGCAAGGCCAGGACAGGGAAAGUCUCAGGCAAGUCACGACUGUGGCCAGGGCUUGCUGAAGACAGAAGGGCAGGGGGCUGGUGGCGGGGGCAGGCGGCCUCUGAAUGGCUUUAAGAGGAAGCAGAGAUGGGGGCGUCAUGGCUGCACUGGGGAUGACACCCUCUCCCUCUAGCUGGGUGGCCUUGGGCAGGGCCUUUCCCUCUCCAAGCUUUUGAGUCCUCAGCCUGCAAUGGCGGACUCCAGCCCCCCUCACACCACCUUGCAGGUGAGUGAGGAAACCCAGCACCAGCACCUGGGUGUGCAGCGUGGGAGAUGUUUUAGGGAUUCCACCCCUUCUUGGAGCUUUUCUAUUUAAAACAAUUUUUUUUAACUUUUUGUAGAGAUGGGGGUCUCACUGUGUUGCCCAGGCUGUUCUUGAACUCCUUGAAGUUCAAGUGAUCCUCCCACCAUAGCCUCUCAAAGUGUUAGGAUUAUAGGCGGGAGCCACCGUGCCCAGCCCCUUCUUGGACCAUGUAGUGCUUCCUGGGUCCUUUUCCUCUUUAUUCUCCCUCCCCCUGCACCCCAGAACUGAUGUGGGGCUGAUCUGACCUUACUGACAGGGUGGGAGCCCGGGUGCCCUUCCUACCCUCCCCAAGGGGCUCUACGACCCUCCAGGACAGUCUUUGCCCAGGUGCCCUGAGGGC